CAGCCGCCACGGUAAUACGUAGGGUGCGAGCGUCAAUCGGAAUUACUGGGCGUAAAGCGUGCGCAGGCGGUUGUGUAAGACAGGUGUGGAAUCCCCGGGCUUAACCUGGGAACUGCGCUUGUGACUGCACAGCUAGAGUAUGGCAGAGGGGGGUGGAAUUCCACGUGUAGCAGUGAAAUGCGUAGAGAUGUGUAGGAACACCGAUGGCGAAGGCAGCCCCCUGGGCCAAUACUGACGCUCAUGCACGAAAGCUAGGGGAGCAAAUGGGAUUAGAUACCCCCGUAGUCCCUGUCUCUUAUAC
Molecule: ribosomal RNA, 301 nt
Filed under: uncultured bacterium
Lineage: Bacteria
Description: partial 16S ribosomal RNA
Rfam family: Bacterial small subunit ribosomal RNA
Source: RNAcentral